UACAGAGGGUGCAAGCGUUAAUCGGAAUUACUGGGCGUAAAGCGCGCGUAGGCGGCUGUCUAAGACGGGUGUGAAAGCCCCGGGCUCAACCUGGGAACUGCAUUCGAUACUGGACGGCUAGAGUAUGAGAGAGGGAGGUAGAAUUCCACGUGUAGCGGUGAAAUGCGUAGAUAUGUGGAGGAAUACCGGAGGCGAAGGCGGCCUCCUGGCUUAAUACUGACGCUGAGGUGCAAAAGCGUGGGGAGCAAACAGG
This 253-nucleotide ribosomal RNA is filed under the name uncultured bacterium. RNAcentral describes it as "partial 16S ribosomal RNA". It matches the Rfam family "Bacterial small subunit ribosomal RNA", at positions 524 to 776 of the family's 1533-position model. The record is from RNAcentral.